GCGCGGCGGCGCGGCUGGGUGAGCGGAGGCAGAGAGGAUCUUCGCACCCAGAGCCGAGGCUGUACGCGAGGGAGCGCAGCUCGGGGACGAGCCGCCUCCCCACCCCCGCGACGCCGUGCCCGGCUCCGGGGCGCAAGCGCUAUGGCAGGUGCGCAGUAGGGGGUGGCUUGGGUCAAAUUGUACUUCAGCUUCCAACUGCAAGCCAAGUAGAGCGGAGGGUAGUGGAAGAAAGGGAUUAAAUGUCUUUGUUGGGAGCUGGUGGAGGAAGAGGGUUGCCAGAGGAAUGCCUGGGACAAACGUCCUCCCCAGCACCGGGAGCUUGCCUUCCCGAGAGUCCCAGGGAGGGCUUUAGGGUUCAUCAACAAGGUGAAGCAAAGAGUUUCUCCAAAGAAGGUGCACAGUGGAUGAAGAAAACUAAUCUGGCAAUUUAUGAUGGAAUUCAAAGGCUUUGAAGAAACGCCAAGAUGAAAAUUGUUGCCCCUUUCUUUGUGAUGGAAGAAUGAAAAAAAAAAAAAAAACACAAAGUUGUUGCUCUUGUAGGAUUCUAGUUUUGAAGAUGUCAACGAAAAAGAAUGGAAGAGCUCUUAAGAUCUAAUGCAGAGGAUUUAACGACACUAAUCUAGUUUAGAUCUACAUGCAGUCAUUGUAGAAAUAAUUAUCAGGCACAAGUACAAUGGCAAAGUACGGCAAACUCGAAGUAUGACACUGUAGUAGCUCUUGAUUCCAGCAACAGUCAGUAACCAAGCUUUUCACAAAGCUACAUAUGAUUCUGAUUUUCUUUUCUUUUCUUUUCUUUUGAGACGGAGUCUUGCUGUGUCACCCAAGCUGGAGUGCAAUGGGACGAUCUCGGCUCACUGCAAACUCCGCCUCCUGGGCUCAAGUGAUUCUUCUGCCUCACUAGCUGAGAUUAGUGGCACCCACCACCACACCCGGCUAAUUUCUGUAUUUUUAGUAGAGACGGGGUUUCACCAUGUAGUCCAGGCUGGUCCCAAACUCCCUGACCUUAGGUAAUUCACCUGCCUCAGCCUCCCAAAGUGCUGGGAUUACAGACAUGAGCCACCAUGCCCAGCCAUAAUUCUAAUUUUCUACUAAUUUUUGUUGCAACAUAACUUCAGGUUUUUCCUUACGUCAUUUUAUUUAAAAUAUUGAGUUUCUAAUAUGUAAAUAUAAAUUUUAAUAUUCAAAUCUGGAGUAUUAAAAGAUACAUAUGCCCUUUCAGUCCAAGUAGGCAGUGUGUCUGCCAAUACAAUUCUCUUUAAGAUUUUGGGGACUUCAUAUAUAUCAAAUUAUAAUCCACUCCAAUAGAAAAAAAAGCCACACUCACAAACCUCUGAGACAAACACUUUCCGUCUUGGGCUGAGAGUAAGAAAGCUGAUGGAAAACACCCUUAUACACUUAGAAGUGCUUUUGUCUAGCUGAAAUGGUCUAGGUAAAAUGGCUUUAAAUCUUUGUACAGUCUUUACAAAAAAUCUAAAUAGCUGCACCCUGGAUUGUACCUUCCCCUUAAGGCAAUGCCUUAGUUGUUUCACCAUCUGGAGAGGCUGGAAGUGAAAAGCAGUUUUAUUUUUGAACCCAAAGUUCCCAGACUGUGUAUAUUUUCUCUAAAUUUUGCUUAAAAAUGAAAUUGUUCCUUUUAUAUCUCACCUCUCUACAUCUUAUUCCACAUAGGUUUUUUUUUUUUAAUCAGUUGGCAUUUUCAACAGUCUGUCUGGAAAUUUCCUUAACUGCAAAUACACCAGUUUGUUAGAUAUAUUUUCUAUUUUCUGCAUUUCAGCAUGCAACAGUGUUGCCAAACUUUCUGCCACUGCAUAACAGGGAUCCCUUUUUCUCCAGCCUUUCCUAACAGUUUCCUCCCUUCAAGCCUUCAAAGAUUGUAGAAAAAACUCUCAAGUGGCCUUACAAAAUAUUCAGGUACAUACACUGUCUAGAAUUCUCAGCAUCUAUAUUAGUUUGAUGUUACCAGUACUUGGAAGCUACAGCUAAGGACACCAUUCUCUCCAAACCCCUACCACUCCAACCACAGAAUGUAAAAGUAAAAGAUACUUUUGGAGGCUGAGGUGGGAGGAUCACGAGGUCGGGAGAUCGAGACCAUCCUGGCUAACACAGUGAAACCCUGUCUCUACUAAAAAUACAAAACAAAUUAGCCGGGCAUGGUGGCAGGCGCC
RNAcentral lists this long non-coding RNA (2165 nucleotides) under Homo sapiens (human). RNAcentral's name for it is "non-protein coding lnc-FZD4-11:3". The record is from RNAcentral. Lineage: Eukaryota; Metazoa; Chordata; Mammalia; Primates; Hominidae.